Molecule: ribosomal RNA, 446 nt
Filed under: uncultured bacterium
Lineage: Bacteria
Description: partial 16S ribosomal RNA
Rfam family: Bacterial small subunit ribosomal RNA
Source: RNAcentral
CCCCAGACUCCUACGGGAGGCAGCAGUGGGGGAUAUUGCACAAUGGGGGAAACCCUGAUGCAGCGACGCCGCGUGAGUGAAGAAGUAAUUCGUUACGUAAAGCUCUAUCAGCAGGGAAGAAAAUGACGGUACCUGACUAAGAAGCCCCGGCUAACUACGUGCCAGCAGCCGCGGUAAUACGUAGGGGGCAAGCGUUAUCCGGAUUUACUGGGUGUAAAGGGAGCGUAGACGGCUGUGCAAGCCAGAUGUGAAAGCCCGGGGCUCAACCCCGGGACUGCAUUUGGAACUGUGUGGCUGGAGUGUCGGAGAGGCAGGCGGAAUUCCUAGUGUAGCGGUGAAAUGCGUAGAUAUUAGGAGGAACACCAGUGGCGAAGGCGGCCUGCUGGACGAUGACUGACGUUGAGGCUCGAAAGCGUGGGGAGCAAACAGGAUUAGAUACCCCAGUA